UACAGAGGUCUCUAGCGUUGUUCGGAUUUACUGGGCGUAAAGGGAGCGUAGGCGGUUUGGUGUGUCGAAUGUGAAAGCCCGCAACUCAACUGCGGAAUGGCAUUCGAAACUACCAGACUAGAGUACUGGAGAGGAGAGCGGAAUUCUUGGUGUAGCGGUGAAAUGCGUAGAUAUCAAGAGGAACACCGGUGGCGAAGGCGGCUCUCUGGACAGAUACUGACGCUGAGGCUCUAAAGUUAGGGGAGCAAACAGG
This 253-nucleotide ribosomal RNA is filed under the name uncultured bacterium. RNAcentral describes it as "partial 16S ribosomal RNA". It matches the Rfam family "Bacterial small subunit ribosomal RNA", at positions 524 to 776 of the family's 1533-position model. The record is from RNAcentral.